UGGGGAAUUUUGGACAAUGGGCGAAAGCCUGAUCCAGCAAUGCCGCGUGUGUGAAGAAGGCCUUCGGGUUGUAAAGCACUUUUGUCCGGAAAGAAAUCCUUGGCUCUAAUACAGUCGGGGGAUGACGGUACCGGAAGAAUAAGCACCGGCUAACUACGUGCCAGCAGCCGCGGUAAUACGUAGGGUGCAAGCGUUAAUCGGAAUUACUGGGCGUAAAGCGUGCGCAGGCGGUUUGCUAAGACCGAUGUGAAAUCCCCGGGCUCAACCUGGGAACUGCAUUGGUGACUGGCAGGCUAGAGUAUGGCAGAGGGGGGUAGAAUUCCACGUGUAGCAGUGAAAUGCGUAGAGAUGUGGAGGAAUACCGAUGGCGAAGGCAGCCCCCUGGGCCAAAUACUGACGCUCAUGCACGAAAGCGUGGGGAGCAAGAGGAUUAGAUACCCUGGUAGUCCCACGCCCUAAACGAUGUCAACUAGUUGUUGGGGAUUCAUUUCCUUAGUAACGUAGCUAACGCGUGAAGUUGACCGCCUGGGGAGUACGGUCGCAAGAUUAAAACUUAAAGGAA
This 562-nucleotide ribosomal RNA is filed under the name uncultured bacterium. RNAcentral's name for it is "partial 16S ribosomal RNA". It matches the Rfam family "Bacterial small subunit ribosomal RNA", at positions 355 to 909 of the family's 1533-position model. The record is from RNAcentral.